CGAAUGCAAUCGCACAUAGUCAAUGCAGAACGAUAUGUAGAUAAGCCUAGGAGAAAACGAUGAGAAAUCCAUACGUAUACUCUGACCAGCUCUGCCAGCAGUCGCGGUAAUACGUGGAAGACUAGUGUUAUUCAUCUUUAUUAGGUUUAAAGGGUACCUAGACGGUAUUUCUAGCCCAAAGUAGGGUACGGAUUUACUAGAGUUUUAUGUGAGGAGGGGAGUACUCGUGGAGUAGAGAUGAAAUUUUGUUAUACUAUGAGGUAACUGGUGGCGGCGAAAGCAACCUUCUAUGUAUAAACUGACGUUGAGGGACGAAGGCUUGGGUAGCAAAUAGGAUUAGAUACCCUAGUAGUCCAAGCAGACAAUUCUGAAUGCCAUAGAUUAGAUUAUUUUUGGUCUAUAAAUGAAAGUGUAAGCAUUCCACCUUAGGAGUAAUGUGGCAACACAGGAACUGAAAUCAUUAGACCGUUUCUGAAACCAGUAGUGAAGUAUGUUAUUUAAAUUGAUGGUCCACAAAAAACCUUACCACAACUUGAAUAUUUUUUAAUUAAUACAAGCGUUGCACGGCUGUCUUCAGUUAAUGUCGUGAGAUUUUGGUUAACUCCAUUAAUUAACGUAAACCCUUACUUUAUUUAUUUUUUUUUAUAAAGUAGAUCGCCUAUAUAUUGGAUAUGAUAAGAGGGACUAAGACAAGUCAUCAUGGCCUUAAUGUUGUGGGC
RNAcentral lists this ribosomal RNA (719 nucleotides) under Acarospora sp. JA-2019d. Its description in RNAcentral is "SSU rRNA". It matches the Rfam family "Bacterial small subunit ribosomal RNA", at positions 420 to 1214 of the family's 1533-position model. Lineage: Eukaryota; Fungi; Ascomycota; Lecanoromycetes; Acarosporales; Acarosporaceae. The record is from RNAcentral.